AUGAACGCUGGCGGCGUGCCUAAUACAUGCAAGUCGAGCGAACGGACGAGAAGCUUGCUUUUCUGAUGUUAGCGGCGGACGGGUGAGUAACACGUGGAUAACCUACCUAUAAGACUGGGAUAACUUCGGGAAACCGGAGCUAAUACCGGAUAAUAUUUUGAACCGCAUGGUUCAAAAGUGAAAGACGGUCUUGCUGUCACUUAUAGAUGGAUCCGCGCUGCAUUAGCUAGUUGGUAAGGUAACGGCUUACCAAGGCAACGAUGCAUAGCCGACCUGAGAGGGUGAUCGGCCACACUGGAACUGAGACACGGUCCAGACUCCUACGGGAGGCAGCAGUAGGGAAUCUUCCGCAAUGGGCGAAAGCCUGACGGAGCAACGCCUCGUGAGUGAUGAAGGUCUUCGGAUCGUAAAACUCUGUUAUUAGGGAAGAACAUAUGUGUAAGUAACUGUGCACAUCUUGACGGUACCUAAUCAGAAAGCCACGGCUAACUACGUG
This 496-nucleotide ribosomal RNA is filed under the name uncultured bacterium. Its description in RNAcentral is "partial 16S ribosomal RNA". It matches the Rfam family "Bacterial small subunit ribosomal RNA", at positions 29 to 507 of the family's 1533-position model. The record is from RNAcentral.